RNAcentral lists this ribosomal RNA (1619 nucleotides) under Hungatella hathewayi 12489931. RNAcentral's name for it is "bacterial LSU rRNA". It matches the Rfam family "Bacterial large subunit ribosomal RNA", at positions 1280 to 2925 of the family's 2925-position model. Lineage: Bacteria; Bacillati; Bacillota; Clostridia; Lachnospirales; Lachnospiraceae. The record is from RNAcentral.
GUUAAGAAGAGAGAAUGCCGGAAUGAGUAGCGAGAUGGAGGUGGGAAUCCUCCAGGCCGAAUAUCUAAGGUUUCCAGAGUAAAGCUGAUCUGCUCUGGGUAAGUCGGGGCCUAAGGCGAGGUCGAAAGACGUAGUCGAUGGACAACAGGUUGAAAUUCCUGUACCGCGUAUUAUCAGAACUGUGGGGACACAGAACCGAAGCCAAACCCGGGAAUGAAAAGACCGGGGCAAGCGCCGGACUGGUUAGACUGGAAAAACCGUCUAACAACAGGAAAGCGUGACGCGUACCGAACAAAAGUAGGGAAGUUGGUAUAGGGGCUGUCAAGAAAAGCCGCUAUUGUGUAAUACGUGCCCGUACCGUAAACCGACACAGGUGGAUGAGGAGAGAAUCCUAAGGCCGGCGGGAGAAGCAUUGUUAAGGAACUCGGCAAAAUGGCUCCGUAACUUCGGGAUAAGGAGCGCCCACGAGAGUGGGCCGCAGAGAAUAGGCUCAAGCAACUGUUUAGCAAAAACACAGGUCUAUGCAAAACCGAAAGGUGAGGUAUAUGGGCUGACGCCUGCCCGGUGCUGGAAGGUUAAGAGGAGAGGUUAGAGCAAUCGAAGCUUUGAAUUUAAGCCCCAGUAAACGGCGGCCGUAACUAUAACGGUCCUAAGGUAGCGAAAUUCCUUGUCGGGUAAGUUCCGACCCGCACGAAAGGCGUAAUGAUUUGAGCGCUGUCUCGACAAUGCACCCGGUGAAAUUGAAGUACCAGUGAAGAUGCUGGUUACCUGCGCCAGGACGGAAAGACCCCAUGGAGCUUUACUCCAGCUUGAUACUGGGAUUCGGUGUCGCAUGUACAGGAUAGGUGGGAGGCAGUGAAGGUAGGACGCCAGUCUUACCGGAGCCAUUGUUGGGAUACCACCCUUGCGAUAUUGGGUUUCUAACCUGCGGCCAUGACCUGGCCGGGGGACAAUGUCAGGUGGGGAGUUUGACUGGGGCGGUCGCCUCCGAAAGUGUAUCGGAGGCGCUCAAAGGUUCCCUCAGAAUGGUUGGAAACCAUUCGAAGAGUGCAAAGGCAUAAGGGAGCUUGACUGCGAGACUGACGGGUCGAGCAGGUACGAAAGUAGGACUUAGUGAUCCGGUGGUAUAAAGUGGGAUUGCCAUCGCUCAACGGAUAAAAGCUACCCUGGGGAUAACAGGCUUAUCACUCCCAAGAGUUCACAUCGACGGAGUGGUUUGGCACCUCGAUGUCGGCUCAUCGCAUCCUGGGGCUGAAGUAGGUCCCAAGGGUUGGGCUGUUCGCCCAUUAAAGCGGUACGCGAGCUGGGUUCAGAACGUCGUGAGACAGUUCGGUCCCUAUCCGGCGUGGGCGUAGGAUAUUUGAGAGGAGCUGUCCUUAGUACGAGAGGACCGGGAUGGACUGACCUCUGGUGUACCGGUUGGGUAUCAAACCCAUGGCCGGGUAGCUAAGUCGGGAAGGGAUAAACGCUGAAGGCAUCUAAGCGUGAAGCCCCCCUCAAGAUGAGAUAUCCCAUCGCAAGAGUAAGACCCCUUGAAGACGACGAGGUAGAUAGGGCAGAGGGGGAAGCAUGGCAACAUGUGGAGCUGACUGUCACUAAUAGGUCGAGGGCUUAACCAA